AUUGAACGCUGGCGGCAGGCUUAACACAUGCAAGUCGAGCGGGGUGAUGGUGCUUGCACUAUCACUUAGCGGCGGACGGGUGAGUAAUGCUUAGGAAUCUGCCUAUUAGUGGGGGACAACAUCUCGAAAGGGAUGCUAAUACCGCAUACGUCCUACGGGAGAAAGCAGGGGAUCACUUGUGACCUUGCGCUAAUAGAUAAGCCUAAUUCGGAUUAGCUAGUUGGUGGGGUAAAGGCCUACCAAGGCGACGAUCUGUAGCGGGUCUGAGAGGAUGAUCCGCCACACUGGGACUGAGACACGGCCCAGACUCCUACGGGAGGCAGCAGUGGGGAAUAUUGGACAAUGGGGGGAACCCUGAUCCAGCCAUGCCGCGUGUGUGAAGAAGGCCUUAUGGUUGUAAAGCACUUUAAGCGAGGAGGAGGCUCCUUUGGUUAAUACCCAGAAUGAGUGGACGUUACUCGCAGAAUAAGCACCGGCUAACUCUGUGCCAGCCGCCGCAGUAA
RNAcentral lists this ribosomal RNA (503 nucleotides) under uncultured bacterium. RNAcentral's name for it is "partial 16S ribosomal RNA". It matches the Rfam family "Bacterial small subunit ribosomal RNA", at positions 30 to 523 of the family's 1533-position model. The record is from RNAcentral.